AACAGACCUGGGACCAGGCUAGAUAAUGACAAGACAGCCCAAACAGACCUGGGACCAGGCUAGGUAAUGACAAGACAGCCCAAACAGACCUGGGACCAGGCUAGGUAAUGACAAGACAGCCCAAACAGACCUGGGACCAGGCUAGAUAAUGACAAGACAGCCCAAACAGACCUGGGACCAGGCUAGAUAAUGACAAGACAGCCCAAACAGACCUGGGACCAGGCUAGAUAAUGACAAGACAGCCCAAACAGACCUGGGACCAGGCUAGAUAAUGACAAGACAGCCCAAACAGACCUGGGACCAGGCUAGAUAAUGACAAGACAGCCCAAACAGACCUGGGACCAGGCUAGAUAAUGACAAGACAGCCCAAACAGACCUGGGACCAGGCUAGGUAAUGACAAGACAGCCCAAACAGACCUGGGACCAGGCUAGAUAAUGACAAGACAGCCCAAACAGACCUGGGACCAGGCUAGAUAAUGACAAGACAGCCCAAACAGACCUGGGACCAGGCUAGGUAAUGACAAGACAGCCCAAACAGACCUGGGACCAGGCUAGAUAAUGACAAGACAGCCCAAACAGACCUGGGACCAGGCUAGAUAAUGACAAGACGGACCAGGCUAGGUAAUGACCAUAGGAGUUGACAAGACAGCCCAAACAGACCUGGGACCAGGCUAGGUAAUGACCAGACCUGGGACCAGGCUAGGUAAUGACAAGACAGCCCAAACAGACCUGGGACCAGGCUAGGUAAUGACAAGACAGCCCAAACAGACCUGGGACCAGGCUAGAUAAUGACAAGACAGCCCAAACAGACCUGGGACCAGGCUAGAUAAUGACAAGACAGCCCAAACAGACCUGGGACCAGGCUAGAUAAUGACAAGACAGCCCAAACAGACCUGGGACCAGGCUAGAUAAUGACAAGACAGCCCAAACAGACCUGGGACCAGGCUAGAUAAUGACAAGACAGCCCAAACAGACCUGGGACCAGGCUAGAUAAUGACAAGACAGACCUGGGACCAGGCUAGAUAAUGACAAGACAGACCUGGGACCAGGCUAGAUAAUGACAAGACAGCCCAAACAGACCUGGGACCAGGCUAGAUAAUGACAAGACAGCCCAAACAGACCUGGGACCAGGCUAGAUAAUGACAAGACAACCCAAACAGACCUGGGACCAGGCUAGAUAAUGACAAGACAGCCCAAACAGACCUGGGACCAGGCUAGAUAAUGACAAGACAGCCCAAACAGACCUGGGACCAGGCUAGGUAAUGACAAGACAGCCCAAACAGACCUGGGACCAGGCUAGAUAAUGACAAGACAGCCCAAACAGACCUGGGACCAGGCUAGAUAAUGACAAGACAGCCCAAACAGACCUGGGACCAGGCUAGAUAAUGACAAGACAGCCCAAACAGACCUGGGACCAGGCUAGAUAAUGACAAGACAGCCCAAACAGACCUGGGACCAGGACAGCCCAAACAGACCUGGGAUCAGGCUAGUGUUGCUUUGGAAACGCUGUGAUCAUAUUAACUGUGAAGUUAGCCCAUUGUUACGUCUUUAUGUCUGUUUUUACUUGAAGCAAGGAUACAUCCCAAAUGACACCCUAUUCCCUAUGGGCCCUGUUUAAACAGUGCACUAUAAAGGGAAUGGCUCCCUACGGGCCCUGUUUAAACAUAAAGGGAAUGGCUCCCUACGGGCCCUGUUUAAACAGUGCACUAUAAAGGGAAUGGCUCCCUACGGGCCCUGUUUAAACAGUGCACUAUAAAGGGAAUGGCUCCCUACGGGCCCUGUUUAAACAGUGCACUAUAAAGGGAAUGGCUCCCUACGGGCCCUGUUUAAACAGUGCACUAUAAAUGGAAGCGGGUGCCAUUUGAGAUGGAACCCAAGACGACGUGUAAAGUUGAAGCAUGAUCUGAUUAGUGUGAACUAAGUAUAUAGCUUUUUGUGAUUGUAUUUCCUCAUUAGAAGUGCAUUUUUUUUAUAUAUAUAUAUAUAUAAAAACGUUGUUCUCGAAGAAUGUGGCAUUAAGUUUGUUAUAAAUGGAACAAAUAUACAAGGACCAUGAACUUUACAGAUCUUAUCAAGUGAAUUACUAUAUGCAGUAAUAAAAAAUAAAAGUAGUUUUAAAAGAAAUGUUGGAACAUAGUUUGAAGCACCGUGUCCAGAUGUUCUGUGUGUGUAGAAGACGGGUGUAUUCAUUCCUCUGACUCUGUUGCAAAACGUUUUCGACCUGCCUGAAUUUGUCCAAUAGAAACUGUUUGUUUUUCCCCCGUCCAUUUCAAUUCAGGCAGUAAAAUGAAAUAGCAAAUUUUCCUUCAUUUUAAAAAACCGGGAUAAUUGAAAUGUCAAUCCCAAACCUGGCAGAAUUACAGCCAUGUCUUUGUGUGUAGCGAUAUUAAAAAGGAAAGAUUCACUCAUUUUUUGAAUGUCAUUGUUCUUGUGCAUCUCAGAAACGAUGUUCGUAUCGGAGUUAUUGAAACAGGAGACAUGACAAGUUGAGUCAGAACAUCGCUCAGAUGAAGAAAAGAAAAAAAAGUCAAAAAUGGGUGAAUCUUUCCUUUAAGUUUGUUUUAUAUGGGACAAACAUACAAGGACAGUGAAUUAUUACUACCUACAUUAGUCCCUGAGUGUAACUAUUGUUCUUAUGCAGUGGUUUCAGAAUUGCCUUAAGUCUUUUCAAAUAAACAUGGACUUUGUUCACUCAGUGUGA
This is a long non-coding RNA of Oncorhynchus keta (chum salmon), 2701 nucleotides long. RefSeq lists it as uncharacterized. The record is from RefSeq and is a predicted model, not a curated record. The transcript has 7 exons. NCBI's taxonomy places the organism in Eukaryota, Metazoa, Chordata, Actinopteri, Salmoniformes, Salmonidae.